CGAACGCUGGCGGCGUGCCUAAUACAUGCAAGUAGAACGCUGAGGUUUGGUGUUUACACUAGACUGAUGAGUUGCGAACGGGUGAGUAACGCGUAGGUAACCUGCCUCAUAGCGGGGGAUAACUAUUGGAAACGAUAGCUAAUACCGCAUAAGAGUAAUUAACACAUGUUAGUUAUUUAAAAGGAGCAAUUGCUUCACUGUGAGAUGGACCUGCGUUGUAUUAGCUAGUUGGUGAGGUAAAGGCUCACCAAGGCGACGAUACAUAGCCGACCUGAGAGGGUGAUCGGCCACACUGGGACUGAGACACGGCCCA
RNAcentral lists this ribosomal RNA (313 nucleotides) under Streptococcus agalactiae. RNAcentral describes it as "bacterial SSU rRNA". It matches the Rfam family "Bacterial small subunit ribosomal RNA", at positions 30 to 333 of the family's 1533-position model. The record is from RNAcentral. Lineage: Bacteria; Bacillati; Bacillota; Bacilli; Lactobacillales; Streptococcaceae.